AGCUUAGUUGGUAAAGAAUCUGCCUGCAAUGCAGGAGACCUGGGUUCGAUUCCUGG
Molecule: transfer RNA, 56 nt
Filed under: Bos taurus (domestic cattle)
Lineage: Eukaryota; Metazoa; Chordata; Mammalia; Artiodactyla; Bovidae
Also listed under: 2 other names
Rfam family: tRNA
About the family: Transfer RNA (tRNA) molecules are approximately 80 nucleotides in length. Their secondary structure includes four short double-helical elements and three loops (D, anti-codon, and T loops).
Source: Rfam by way of RNAcentral